AACGAACGCUGGCGGCAGGCCUAACACAUGCAAGUCGAACGAGAAGCCCACCGUUCGGGUGGUGGACAGUGGCAGACGGUGAGUAACACGUGGGAACGUACCCUUUGGUUCGGAACAACACAGGGAAACUUGUGCUAAUACCGGAUAAGCCCUUACGGGGAAAGAUUUAUCGCCCGAAGGAUCGGCCCGCGUCUGAUUAGCUAGUUGGUGAGGUAACGGCUCACCAAGGCGACGAUCAGUAGCUGGUCGAGAGGAUGAUCAGCCACACUGGGACUGAGACACGGCCCAGGACUCCUACGGGA
RNAcentral lists this ribosomal RNA (302 nucleotides) under uncultured bacterium. Its description in RNAcentral is "bacterial SSU rRNA". It matches the Rfam family "Bacterial small subunit ribosomal RNA", at positions 29 to 346 of the family's 1533-position model. The record is from RNAcentral.